Molecule: transfer RNA, 72 nt
Filed under: Camelus bactrianus (Bactrian camel)
Lineage: Eukaryota; Metazoa; Chordata; Mammalia; Artiodactyla; Camelidae
Also listed under: 1 other name
Rfam family: tRNA
About the family: Transfer RNA (tRNA) molecules are approximately 80 nucleotides in length. Their secondary structure includes four short double-helical elements and three loops (D, anti-codon, and T loops).
Source: Rfam by way of RNAcentral
AGAGGCGUAGCUCAGUGGUAGAGCACAUGCUUAGCACGCACGAGGUACCGGGUUCAAUCCCCAGCACCUCCA